AUGCCAGCCGCCGCGGUAAUACGGAGGAGGCAAGCGUUAUCCGGAAUUAUUGGGCGUAAAGGGUCCGCAGGUGGCAGUUCAAGUCUGCAGUCAAAGGUCGGGGCUCAACCCCGGAAAGGCUGUGGAAACUGAACAGCUAGAGUACGGUAGGGGCAGAGGGAAUUCCCAGUGUAGCGGUGAAAUGCGUAGAGAUUGGGAAGAACACCGGUGGCGAAAGCGCUCUGCUAGGCCGAAACUGACACUGAGGCACGAAAGCCAGGGGAGCGAACGGGAUUAGAUACCCCUGUAGUCCUAGCUGUAAACGAUGGAGACUAGGUGUGGCCUGUAUCGACCCGGGCCGUGCCGGAGCUAACGCGUUAAGUCUCCCGCCUGGGGAGUACGCACGCAAGUGUGAAACUUAAAGGAAUUGACGGGG
RNAcentral lists this ribosomal RNA (415 nucleotides) under uncultured prokaryote. RNAcentral's name for it is "bacterial SSU rRNA". It matches the Rfam family "Bacterial small subunit ribosomal RNA", at positions 505 to 918 of the family's 1533-position model. The record is from RNAcentral.